RNAcentral lists this long non-coding RNA (4266 nucleotides) under Vitis vinifera (wine grape). RNAcentral's name for it is "long non-coding RNA (VVIN_LNC005560)". Lineage: Eukaryota; Viridiplantae; Streptophyta; Magnoliopsida; Vitales; Vitaceae. The record is from RNAcentral.
AAAAGAGAACCUUAGAAAGGCCAUACUUAGGACUCUAAAAUUUUCAUUCUACUUAUGAUCUAACCAUGGGGGAUUUUGUAAAGAUCAUAACCUCAGAGAAAGGCAUCAGACUAAUACCUGCAUGGAAAUUUGCACAAGAUUUCAGAUUCCAAUCAUUGAGUUCAAGGCAGUUCAAAUACAAAGCUCGCAAGUAAAUUCACAAGUUCAAUAUUUGAAGACCAAAAUUGACUCAAGAAGAUGCUCUAUAUGCUUAAUUAUCAUUUUAGGAUACUUCAAUUAUGUGAAUACAAGAAAAAAAAAAUUUCUAUUUCACUCUUUUUUUCAUUUGUUUCUUAGAAAAAAACUUAAUUUCUUAAGCAUUUCUUUUCACAUAAAACUUUAUACUAUAAAAACUAUUACUUGUUAUUUAUUACUAUUAGUAUUGUAAUAAUUCAUACAAUGAUCAAAAGAAAGAAAGAAAGAAAGAAAGGAAAAAUCAUUGCAUGAUAAAAUUGCUCUAUAGAAUAGAUUAAGUUAAUAAACAAAUUCAUUUUUUAAAUUUUCUUAUGCUUAUUGUAAGUAAUUCACUUUCAUAGCAAUCACAUUUAGCUCUAGCAUAUUCAAUAUCAAAAACGAAAAAAAAAAGGAACAAAAAGUAAAUAAAUAAAUAAAUAAGUUUCUUCCAAACCAAUAAGCUGAUAUCAAAUUGUCCAACUUUGUAUGAUGAGGUUAGAGAGAUGGCAGCCCCAGUUGCAAUCCUAUUGUUUUGGUCAAGGGUUUACUUGUUAUCUAUCAUGCUUAAGGUUAAUCCCCUGCAUGAUAAAAUCUAGACUUAAUGGUAAAACUUAUGAAAUAGUUUUAUGUUGUUACCUUUUCUACAGAAAGAAAAUAAGAAACUAUUAAUUAUUAAGUUUAUCAAACUUCUAUCACAUUUUCUAAGAAAAAUAGGAAGAAAAAAAAAUCAUUAAUAUCUUGUUGUUUCCUUUUUUUUUUCAAGAUAACAAUGGAGCUACUCCAAAGUUUCAACUUUUCUAUGCUUUCUCUUUACUGUUGUCUUGCCAAAGUCUCACUUUGUCCACCCUGCUAAUAAGCAAACAUGCCAUUGGAGGGAUGAUAUUGGCCCUACUGGGGACUAGAUUUUUAUCCAACUUAAGAGAAACCUAGCCAUAGAAGGUGCAUCCACACAAAGAAAGAAAAAGGAAAUGGCUUAUCUUCAAAAUGCAGGGGCCAAAUGAGAGAGAUGCCUAUUGUCCCCACCCAGUCAAAGAAUGAAAAAGAAAAAUCAAAUGAACAUGACAUAAAAGAUAGUAAAACGUUUGCAGACUGGAAUUCAAUGAAUUAUAGCUCAUUGUAUCAUGUGGAGAGUUAGGCUAUAAACUUGUUUUUAUGAUAGCGAAACAUAGUGAAGCAUUGAAAAGAGAGUUUUUUAAAUUAUUGAUACAUAGGGUAGUCAAUGGAUGAAGAGGAUGGCUAAUGUUAGCAAAUAGCUAAACAAGAAGCUUAAUAGUAAACCCCUUUCAGAUAUAUGGCUAGAGGGACAAGUAAGAUGAAAUCAUUAAAUGAAUCUUUGUUUCUUUGAUGGGGAUUGCAUUUUUUUUUCUUUUUCUCUGAUGGAACUUUGAAGUUACAUUAUAUUUUGAGAAAACCAAAAAACAUGAAAAACUGGAGAAAAAAAACACUCGACAAAACUCCUAGCACCCAAAAAUGAAGGUACAUUAAAGUAAAAGUAAAAUUUUUUUGGUUAUUGUGUCUUUGAUUAAAUGAUCUGUAACUUGAAAACCAAAAAGAAACAAAGAAAAAAAACAAAAAAGAGAAUGAUCAACCAAAAGAAAAAAAAAAUCCCAAAUAGUUAGUGUGGAUACAUUGAAGCCUCUUCCACCAAAUCAAUUAGGUGAAAUAUGGGUUCGAGGGCAAACAUGAUGCAGGACAAAGUUUGAUCAAAAGUUUGUGUUAGUUCCUCUUCGCAACGAUUUCUAACAACAGGUGACCUUAUCUGAAUCUCCCAAUUAAUUAGGUUCCAUUCAAAUCGAACCAUCUUAAUUCAUUUAGAAAGGAAACAUGGUGGUUAAGACAUCAAUUUUGGUUAAAAUCAAAUUAUUAAUGUUUUAAUUUUGCCUUGUAUUGACUUGUGAAGCCAAACAAUGUAUUCCUAAUCAAACUGCUUAAUCUCACAAGUGGCUUGCCUUGUGCUGUGGGACUCCUAAGCUAACCCUCAUCUUGCUAACAUCUAAUUUGCCAAAUUAGGCAGAUUAGACCAGUCAGACCUGUUAUAACAUAUUACUGAAUACCUAAGAUCCAAAGUUUGAUUAUUUCAAUUGGUCUUUCAAUUAGAACUCUAUGACAUAUGUGAAAUAUAAAACUGCUUCUAAAUUUUGUAUCUCUUUGUACCAUUGAGUUUCAAAUAUUCCACAUUAAGGAAAAUGGGUGCUCAAUAAAAGAGAAUGAAAUAAUGAUAAGAUUUUCAUUCUUGAAUAUUUAUAAGCCAAUCUUGGUUAUUAUAUCUUGAUCUAUAGCUAACUCUCUUGCCAAUUUGGUUGGAGCUAACUCUCUCGGGAUGUGAAUUGCCUGAGAUAUGAUGGCCUCAAAUGAAAACAGAAAGGAAAGGGAAAAACCAACCAGAAAGAAAAGGAAUUUGAUAAUUAGGAAAUUGGCAGGAAGAAAAAGAAAAUGCAUUCAACCUAGUAGAUAAAAUUAGUAAAGUGUCUCUCCUAUAAGCAUAAGAAUUUCCACUCAAAGAACGAAUAUCAAGCUUAUGUCAAUCAGCUGAAUUAAAAAUGUAAAAAUGAGCCUAAAAAGUCAAUUCCUGAUUUUUAAGAAGUUAGAAAAUCACAAAAUUGCAUUUGCCCCAUACAUGAGAUAACAGGAUUUGUAUAGAAGUAAAAGAAUGGUUGGUGAAAAACAGAUGUUGAAGUCCAUUUAAGAAAUUAAAAUUAAGGUAAAUUAGUAAGAAAUUAAAAUUAAGGUAAAUUAGGAAGCCUUUUCCCUCCAAAAUUGCAUAAACCCCAAAACCUAUCCAAUGUUUCUCCUGAAUAGCAAUUGUACAUGAGAUAAAUAUAAUCAAAUGACAUGAUUUUCAACAUCUGAAUUUUUAGAUUUUUGACAAAAUGCUUUUAGUCCGUACCCAUUAAUUUUGAUAAACUUAAUAUUCAUUUUUCCCUUUCUUCUUAGUGUUUACAUGAAGAACAAAAUUAGUCCAAGGGGGUUACUACUUUGAUGGAUUCAAAAUAAAAAAUAAAUAAAUAGAUAAAUAAAAUGAAAAAAAAAAAGAAACAAGAUUAAGAUGAGUCAAAGUGUAGCAUCCUAAUUAGGAAGAGCUUUGCUCUAUUCGAAACUCAUAGCCUUUGAUUUCAUGAGGUGCAGACAAGGCACUAUAAUAAUAGCAGACUGCAUUGAAUUUCAUAUCACUAAAAUUUUCAACUUCAUCUUAUGCACGGAAGACAAAAAAACACAAAAGAGAAGGGACAGGAGCAAUCAUUGCUUCCAAGCUAAGUUUAGAUGCACAUGAAAAUGGAAAGAAGAAUAAGAGUGCAGAGAUGGGGUAUGUGAAAGUAUGGUGAGGGAUUGAUGCUCAUAAUAAUUAGUAAAUAUAUACCAGGGAAUCCAAACACAAACCCUAACCAGAAAAAGAGAGAUGGGAGGAAAUAGAAGUGAUGAAAAGAAACCCAAUUUGAAAUCAAAGAAAGAAAGAAAGGAAUAAUAGAGUGUGAAGCCGUAGAAGGAAUCGAAAGAAUACCUAGAAGAUGUGGGCGAUGAAGUGGCUAAAGAAAUUGGUCGUUGAGCGAGUUGGUCAUUGAUCUAAGCCCCCUCAGUGAUGAGGAUGUCAGUGACGACAAGAAUCUAGUCGGAGAAAUAUACAGUGAUGAGGAUGGGUAUUAUGGCUUUGGGAGAAGAGUUCAAUGGUCUCUAAUGGUGGCUAAGAAGAGUGAACGAUAAAAGACAUGGCUCUCAGUGGGUCCAGCAGUCUAAACCGAGCAGAAGAGAUAGUGCUUAUAUAGUGGCUCUAUGGUCAUGAACAAGCCCAUGUGAUUGUGCCUAUUGGGCCAUAUAUUGCUAGAAGAGCUUUUAUAGCAGCAACCCAGCCCAUGUGGUUGUGCCUAUUGGGCCAUAUAUUGCUAUAAGAGCUUUUAUAGCAGCAACCCAUUCGUUCCCCAGCUAUAUGAGCUUUUAUAGUAGCGAUCUAUUCCUCCCUCAGCCAUAAUGAUGCGGAAAUUUCUAAUCUGUUGCGACUUAUACAAGUAUGAUACUAUAUAUAUGUUUUGGUUGUGGAUUUUGUUGGCCCAAUUAAAA